This 664-nucleotide ribosomal RNA is filed under the name uncultured bacterium. RNAcentral's name for it is "bacterial SSU rRNA". It matches the Rfam family "Bacterial small subunit ribosomal RNA", at positions 83 to 765 of the family's 1533-position model. The record is from RNAcentral.
AGCAAUACACCAGUGGCGGACGGGUGAGUAAUGUAUCGCUAACGUGCCCCGGAUUCCGGGAUAGCUGCCCGAAAGGGCAGGUAAUACCGGAUGACAUAUCCUUUUCGCAUGAAGAGGAUCUCAAAGGGAAACCGUUCUGGGAGCGGGCGAUAUCGUAUCAGCUAGUUGGUAGGGUAACGGCCUACCAAGGCGACGACGCGUAGCCGGACUGAGAGGUUGGCCGGCCACAUUGGGACUGAGACACUGCCCAGACUCCUACGGGGGGCUGCAGUAACGAAUCUUCCGCAAUGCACGCAAGUGUGACGGAGCGACGCCGCGUGUGGGACGAAGUCCUUCGGGAUGUAAACCACUGUCAGGGGUUAGAAAGUUCUGAUCAACCCCAGAGGAAGGCACGGCUAACUCUGUGCCAGCAGCCGCGGUAAGACAGAGGUGCCAAGCGUUAGGCGGAAUCACUGGGCUUAAAGCGUGUGUAGGUGGACAGGUAAGUACUUUGUGAAAUCCCACGGCUCAACCGUGGAACUGCUUGGUAUACUGCCGGUCUUGAGCAACCUAGGGGCGAGCGGAACAAAUGGUGGAGCGGUGAAAUGCGUAGAUAUCAUUUGGAACGCCAAUGGUGAAAACAGCUCGCUGGGGGUUUGCUGACACUGAGACACGAAAGCCAGGG